AAAAUGAUCGGAGGAAUGUAGCUUCGAUCUCGUAUUGAAGUGUUAUAGCUUUGGUAGAUGUAAUGAUCGAGAUCGAGGAUUGCAACGAAUACCCUUUUGGGCUAUCCGCUGAUCUCUGAUACGUUGCCUCGGUAACGAAAGCAUGCUUACGGUAUUGAGGUAUUACGUCAAAAGGUUAGAACGUGAUUACAUUCGUUAAGGAUGUUGACGUAAUGGCUUUAAACGA
Molecule: ribosomal RNA, 226 nt
Filed under: uncultured Glomeromycotina
Lineage: Eukaryota; Fungi; Glomeromycota
Description: partial 28S ribosomal RNA
Source: RNAcentral